CCCAUCCCCGUGGUAGUUCCACUAGACUAGUUAUUUCUUUGUUAUCUCUUAGGCUCAGAAGACCGAGUUCUGUUAGAAUUACUGCUCCAAUGCACAACAGGAGAAGUGGAGGGCACAGACGUGGCUGGCAGAGUGAGAGCAUGCACAAAUUUAUGUCACCGAAUUAAUUCUUCUCUACAGUUUGUCUUUCCUGCAGAAUUUCUUUCAAGGUGGUAAGUGUUGAGCUUUGGUGGAAACUUUGCUAAACGGAACAAGACCGGGAAAGAUAUCGUGUCAUCCUUGGGAAAGGAGAAGUAAUGGGAUCUCCAGAUUGAGAGAGAAUCUUGAAGAAUGGCUGAGCCCCUGCUGCUUCCGGCACGGCUAAUGCCCCAGCCACAGGUUCUUCCCUUCCAUGCUUGCCGGGAGUUUGUACUCUUGGAGCCACCACAUUUCCAGCAGAAGUAAAAUUAACUGCAAGGUCUGGUUGUUACCCCUGAGGAUUCGGAGUUCACAGGUAGAAGAUCUGCAUAACUUAAUGAAUCAGUAUUUUCCAAUGACCUCUAUUUUAAUACAAUGUUAUAAAAUCAUGCACGGGCAAAAGAGUCAAUCAAAAUGGAUUUGAAGUAGACUAAUGUGUUUACCGUAACAGGGUAUGAAAAAUUCAUGGGUAUGUUUUCAGAUUCCAUAUUGCAACUAACCUUUAGAAAUUGCCACUUGUUGAGGGGCACCUGGGUGGCUCAAUGGGUUCAGCAUCUGCCUUCAGCUCAGGUCAUGAUCCCAGGGUCCUGGAAUUGAGCCCCACAUAGGUGGGCUCUCUGCUCAUCAGAGAGUCUGCUUCUCCCUCUGCCUGCUCUUAUGCUCUUUCUCUUCCUCUCCCCAUCUCAAAUGAAUAAAUAAAAUCUUCUUUGAAAAAAAAAAAAAGUUUGCCAAGUUCUGGUUUUAGUAUAGUAUCAAAGAAGAAUAUUCACGAUUUCAUGACAAUCUAUUAAAAUGUAUCUUCCUUUUCCAACUACAUAUCUGUAUGAGGCUAGAUUUUCCUUAUAGAUUUCAACCACAAAAUAUUAAAACAACUGUCUUGUAUUAAUGUGGACAUUAAAGGGAUUUGUAAACAUGUGAUAUAAUGCCAUUCUUACUGCCUUUACCUUCUGUUCUGGAAAAUACAAUUAUUUUUCAUUAAAAUAAAUUAUUUACAUUAACC
RNAcentral lists this long non-coding RNA (1177 nucleotides) under Mustela putorius furo (domestic ferret). RNAcentral's name for it is "lncRNA (ENSMPUG00000024086.1)". Lineage: Eukaryota; Metazoa; Chordata; Mammalia; Carnivora; Mustelidae. The record is from RNAcentral.